CCGACUGGUCUAAACUCCAGUUCCGGGCGAGUCUCUGGGAACCCAGACUCAUACGGGGAGAAACUGGACUGUCUGGCAUCAGUCGGA
This is a non-coding RNA of Myotis lucifugus (little brown bat), 87 nucleotides long. Lineage: Eukaryota; Metazoa; Chordata; Mammalia; Chiroptera; Vespertilionidae. The record is from Rfam.